RNAcentral lists this ribosomal RNA (405 nucleotides) under uncultured bacterium. Its description in RNAcentral is "partial 16S ribosomal RNA". It matches the Rfam family "Bacterial small subunit ribosomal RNA", at positions 30 to 526 of the family's 1533-position model. The record is from RNAcentral.
AUUGAACGCUAGCGGGAUGCUUUACACAUGCAAGUCGAACGGGAGGCGGACGGGUUGGCAAUGUAUCGGAACGUGCCCAGUGGCGGGGGAUAACUACUCGAAAGUGAGGCUAAUACCGCAUACUUGUGCAGCGGCCGAUAUCGGUUUAGCUAGUUGGUGGGGUAAAGGCUGACCAAGGCAACGAUCCGUAGCUGGUGUGAGAGGACGACCAGCCACACUGGGACUGAGACACGGUCCAGACUCCUACGGGAGGCAGCAGUGGGGAAUUUUGGACAAUGGGGGAAACCCUGAUCCAGCCAUCCCGCGUGUAUGAGAAGGCCUUCGGGUUGUAAAGUACUUUUAGCAGAGAAGCGGUAUCUGCAGAAUAAGCACCGGCUAACUACGUGCCAGCAGCCGCGGUAAUUC